CAGCAUUUUCUCUUUAUAACAGGAGUUUGAGGAACUAGUAACAUUUUGACGUGUCCUAUAAGGUUCUCAUCAGAUGUAUGAAAUUUCAGGCUAUAAAGAUCAUUACAGACAAAUUUUACAGAAUUAUUACAAUUUAGGGACGCCUGGAUGGCUCAGCAGUUAAGCUCUGCUUUUGGCUCAGGGCGGGAUCCUGGAGUUCAGGGGUCCAGUCCCACAUUGGGUUCCCUGAGGGGAGCCUGCUUCUCUCUCUGCCUAUGUCUCUGCCUCUCUCUAUGUCUCUCAUGAAUAAAUAAAAUCUUAAAAAAAAGAAUUACAGUUUAUGCUUCACAGGCACACAUACACACACAGUUCUUAGUUUAACACAAUGAAAUUUACUUGACACUUUCUAAUAGUACAUUGUAUAUAUUCCUGGUCAGCUUGUGGUCUUCCUUGUGAUGAUUCAGUGACUCGAAAUGUUUCUAUCUUGUGACGCUCCAUCCACUCUAAGACCUAAAGACUCCUCUACCUAUGGCUGGCCGAUGAAGAAAAAGAACAAGAGGCAUACUGUCCCUGUCUACAGGACAAUAGAACUUCUUACAAGACAACUUACACUCUCAGAAAUGCAAACAUCGCUGCUCUACCCCAUUCUUUUGGGAAAGCAAGACACAAGAUCAGCUCAGCUUCAGUAUGAGGGGUUCAUUAGGAGAGCAUGGACACUGGGAGGCGUAUCCAUGAGGACCAUCUUUAGUAAAUAGCUACCACAUGCUACGUGAUUGGAGCGGUAUCUUCAGUGCUCUAGGAUUUUAAUUGUUCGAAAAUUUGCAAUCCCGCUAUGGCAGGUAUAUAGUCACUAUAUCUCAUGAGGGACACUGUGGUUUCUAUUGUCAAGGAUGCUAAUUUUACCAGAACACUCAA
RNAcentral lists this long non-coding RNA (894 nucleotides) under Vulpes vulpes (red fox). RNAcentral describes it as "lncRNA (ENSVVUG00000014140.1)". The record is from RNAcentral. Lineage: Eukaryota; Metazoa; Chordata; Mammalia; Carnivora; Canidae.